This 253-nucleotide ribosomal RNA is filed under the name uncultured bacterium. RNAcentral's name for it is "partial 16S ribosomal RNA". It matches the Rfam family "Bacterial small subunit ribosomal RNA", at positions 524 to 776 of the family's 1533-position model. The record is from RNAcentral.
UACGAAGGGGGCGAGCGUUGUUCGGAUUUACUGGGCGUAAAGGGCGCGCAGGCGGCUUUGUUUGUCAGGCGUGAAAGCCCCGGGCUUAACCUGGGAACUGCGUUUGAUACGGCAGGGCUAGAGUUCGGGAGAGGAGAGUGGAAUUCCCAGUGUAGAGGUGAAAUUCGUAGAUAUUGGGAAGAACACCGGUGGCGAAGGCGGCUCACUGGACCACAACUGACGCUGAUGCACGAAAGCUAGGGGAGCAAACAGG